RNAcentral lists this ribosomal RNA (375 nucleotides) under uncultured bacterium. Its description in RNAcentral is "bacterial SSU rRNA". It matches the Rfam family "Bacterial small subunit ribosomal RNA", at positions 523 to 897 of the family's 1533-position model. The record is from RNAcentral.
CUACGUAGGGAGCGAGCGUUGUCCGGAUUUACUGGGUGUAAAGGGUGCGUAGGCGGCUCUGCAAGUCAGGCGUGAAAUACAUGGGCUUAACCCAUGGACUGCGUUUGAAACUGUGGAGCUUGAGUGAAGUAGAGGUAGGCGGAAUUCCCGGUGUAGCGGUGAAAUGCGUAGAGAUCGGGAGGAACACCAGUGGCGAAGGCGGCCUACUGGGCUUUAACUGACGCUGAAGCACGAAAGCAUGGGUAGCAAACAGGAUUAGAUACCCUGGUAGUCCAUGCCGUAAACGAUGAUUACUAGGUGUGGGGGGUCUGACCCCUUCCGUGCCGGAGUUAACACAAUAAGUAAUCCACCUGGGGAGUACGGCCGCAAGGUUGA